This 43-nucleotide non-coding RNA is filed under the name Prorocentrum micans. Lineage: Eukaryota; Dinophyceae; Prorocentrales; Prorocentraceae. The record is from RNAcentral.
UUUUUUUUUUUUUUUUUUUUUUUUUUUUUUUCACUAACGUGUC